CUUUAUCUCAUGGCAAUCUGCUGUUUCAGCCUCCUGGGACCAUGGGCCUGCUGUGUCAUCAUGCCCAGCUUUAAACCACAACUCUUUUUUUUUUUGUUUUAAGAUAGGGUUUCACUACAUAGCCCUGGCAAGCCUGGGACUCACAAAGAUAUGCCUGCCUCUGCUUUCCAAGCACUGGGAUUAAAGGUGUGUGUCACCCACCCACACUGGGCUUGGACCACUACUCUUUUAUGUCCCCUGGUGACCAAAAAACCUUCAAAGUGCUUUCCUACUAAACUGUAGCACCUCAGAAAUUCCACUUGUAGACUGUUCUCAAGCUCUGACUUUCACAAGAAAUAGAAUCUUGAGUAGACAAGCCAUAGUCAGAAAAGUAGAAUGUGGUGACCUAACAGCUCCUAAGAUAGAACUCGCUAGCACAGACAGAAACCAAAAAGCAGUUGUACUCAAAUACUUUUGCCCUGUGCCUCUGGAUAUAGAAAUGUCAAGAGGGUUAAAUGAAUGACUUCUGUUUUUAUCAUGGGGUGAUUUACAGGUUUGUUGGAUGUGAUCCAUCUUGUGACUGAUUCUGCCUCUGGAAACCUAGACUGACAGCUCUCCAGGGUGGGAAUUCUGGCCGCUCCUCUAUGCUGUCACAUGUCGCCUUGGUUAUGAAAUUAUUCAGUAUGCCUACUAUGAGCAGCAUCAUGACACUUCUCUUCUGGAGGACUCUAAAGAAUAUCCAAAUAAACCCAGUCCUCCGCAAGGCCAAGGAAGAACACCAGAAACCUCUUUCUGCUGGAGCUUCGUAAGAGGUAAUAAAGUUGAAUGACUAAGAGGCUUUGGAGUCAGAUGGACCUGGGUUUAACUCCAGUUUCCAACACUCACUAGUUUUAUAAAGUAAAUUUCCUUA
This is a long non-coding RNA of Peromyscus eremicus (cactus mouse), 889 nucleotides long. RefSeq lists it as uncharacterized. The transcript is spliced from 2 exons. The record is from RefSeq and is a predicted model, not a curated record. NCBI's taxonomy places the organism in Eukaryota, Metazoa, Chordata, Mammalia, Rodentia, Cricetidae.